UGGAGGCGGGGCGCGGGGCCGGGGCCGCCGGGCUGCCUGUGGACCGCGGCUAGGAAGCUCCCACGUACAGGAUCAGAGACUGGAAGGCUGGGGCCGGCGGAGGACCGGGAAGCACGGACACAGGGGCGCCGGCAGGCUCAUUUCUACGGAGGUCAGACCGGCAGUGAGCGCACAAGGGAGCUCAGCGGGAGCCCAGCGCCGAGGGAACCGGGGUCAGAUGACCACAGGGAGGAAGGUGCACAGGCUACUCUCGGCCAGAACGGGUCUCAAGACCUGGGCUUGGCUCGUUAUGCCAGGCCCUGCCUCACUGCUCAGCUGCCUGAACCUUUCCUAGCACGAUGGCUGUUCAUCCGCAGACAGGCUCCCCGACCUUCCUCUUCAGGGUUUGGGUCUUGAAGCUGGAAAAGGCCUCCUUGUUUCCAUCCCUGCCUCGUCCCCUGCUAACCCAUUCUCCAUCCGUGGCCAGAGCAGGUGUGUUCACAAAUAUCCAGGCUCGGGAUGCCAGGGUGGCUCAGCAGUUGAGCGUGUCUGCCUUUGGCUCAGGGUGUGACCCCGAGGUCCUGCAGGGAGCCUGCUUCUCCCUCUGCCUGUGUUUCUGCUUCUCUCUAUCAUGAGUAAAUAAAUAAAAGCUUAAAAAAAAAUAUCCCGGUUGAUGUCAUCUCCUAUACACUUUCGCUGCGUCAAUGUCCUGACGCCUCCUAAAGCUUCCCCAUCACCCGUGAAAUCCUAAGUCGUGUCCCUGGCCUACAGCGCGGCGGGUUCCUGCCUCCCUAGAGCCCCCCAAACCUCGUUCCGAGUUGCUCCCCAUCUCCGCCGCUGCGAACGCGCCCCGCUACGUGCCCCAGCCAUCCUCCCCGCUCCGGCGUGGACGCCAGGCAGUAGCAGCAGGUGGGUUUAGCUACAGUCCCUCCGCUCAUGGAGUUGACGCUCCGCUCCCGAGAAGUCGAACGCGGAGCCCACGGGCUUCGGAAAGGCAGGGGAGGGGCUCCCCAGGAGAGGAAGGCGGUCGGGAAGGCGUCCCCGGGAGG
Molecule: long non-coding RNA, 1028 nt
Organism: Canis lupus familiaris (dog)
Lineage: Eukaryota; Metazoa; Chordata; Mammalia; Carnivora; Canidae
Exons: 3
Source: RefSeq, a predicted model, not a curated record